This 1378-nucleotide long non-coding RNA is filed under the name Fragaria vesca (wild strawberry). RNAcentral's name for it is "long non-coding RNA (FVES_LNC001928)". The record is from RNAcentral. Lineage: Eukaryota; Viridiplantae; Streptophyta; Magnoliopsida; Rosales; Rosaceae.
CUCUCUUCUUCAGCGUCCCAUCUCUUCUCACUAGUUUGAAUUAAUAUGUUGAAAGUUGGUCUUGUAAUAUCUGAGGCCGAAUGCAAAGAUGAAGAUGAAGACCGUGCCUGUAUCAUAGGGCCUCAAUUAAUCGAAUCAAUGAUUUACCAGAGGUAGAUCUCUUUCUGAAACAAUCUCUUGCCAACAAACUUUUUGAAUAUAUAAAAUGUGUUGUUUAGGGUAUUCAUGAACUUGCAAUAUUGUACCUUGUUUCAGCGUCUCGAGAGAGAUCGAGAGAUCGCAUAACCGAAUACAAAUCAUUCUGCAUCCAAUAUGUAUCAAUGUUUUAUCCAUUUUUAUCUGAAUUCUAACCUUUUUUUUUCUUUUGUGAUCAGUUGUAUGUGUGGAUCCUAUAGAGAAAGAGGAGCACGGAGGAUAAUGUAGUGACCGGGUGAUAUUGAAGAAGAUGACACGAGAGGUUCAGGUGCAAUAUCCUACUGCUAACAAAGGCUGACAUAGCCUCUGGAGAUAUGUUUCUCCUUAAGAGUUAAGAGCAGGUUUUGGAAAAAUCUUUGUCUCUCCAGUAGACGGGUUCCAUAACGCAAGUAUGUCGAACCCAAGAAUGUCAUCUUUCUCGUCUAUCUCGAGACAUACCAGACCAUGGCAGGAACACAAGCUCAAGAAUGUCAUCCUUCUCGUUUAUCUCGAGAUGUACCAGACCAUGGCAGGAACCCAAGCUCCUCAUCCUUCUCGUCUAUCUCGAGACGUACCAGUCCAUGGCAGGAACUCAAGAACGACAAACUAGUGUUGGGCUCGAAUAUGUCUACACAACGUACCUCUUUGAGUUUUGCAAUGAAUCAAUGAUCUACCAAAAUUAUAGAUUUUUGGUUAGUUUUAGGCUGAUUGUAUGAGUCUUAGAUUGUUUUUUGUAAGUAUUUGAUUGUAAUCCGAUAAUUAAUCAAUGAAGUAUUGUUUUUAGGGCCAGUUUUGGUGCUUGACCCUUUGUAUUAUUGAAUAGCAAAUCAAUGAAUGUUUCAGCUACGUAUGUGUACAUACGUGGAAUAUCAUAAGCUACUUUUCAUAUUGUGGCAAGACAAGCUUGACAUCUAUUGCAAAGCUUAGUAGUGAAACUGUGUAAUUAGUUCUUUAGAGAGGUUUUAAAUUGUCUAACCUAGCUAGAGUAUUUCUGCGCGCAAGAUAGGUGCUCAGUUUGCUGCAUCUUUUUCAAAGGCAAAACCUACCUGUUGGAAAGUGAGAGAAGUGGUGCGUAGUACGUAUAUGUUGUUCGUAUACUUUUACUUUUCUAAACCAAUAUGCCUUUGCAUUACAUGGAUCAUCAAGAAUGACAUAUAAUUUGAUUCCACCAGUUUUGCUUUAUAAAAUCUAUCACCAUCUAAUC